RNAcentral lists this ribosomal RNA (301 nucleotides) under uncultured bacterium. RNAcentral describes it as "partial 16S ribosomal RNA". It matches the Rfam family "Bacterial small subunit ribosomal RNA", at positions 512 to 810 of the family's 1533-position model. The record is from RNAcentral.
CAGCCGCGGGAAUACGAAGGGUGCAAGCGUUACUCGGAAUUACUGGGCGUAAAGCGUGCGUAGGUGGCGGUUUAAGUCCGUUGUGAAAGCCCUGGGCUCAACCUGGGAAUUGCAGUGGAUACUGGAUCACUAGAGUGUGGUAGAGGAUAGUGGAAUUUCCGGUGUAGCAGUGAAAUGCGUAGAGAUCGGAAGGAACAUCUGUGGCGAAGGCGACUAUCUGGGCCAACACUGACACUGAGGCACGAAAGCGUGGGGAGCAAACAGGAUUAGAUACCCCCGUAGUCCCUGUCUCUUAUACCAU